GAUGAACGCUGGCGGCGUGCCUAAUACAUGCAAGUCGAGCGAAUGGAUUAAGAGCUUGCUCUUAUGAAGUUAGCGGCGGACGGGUGAGUAACACGUGGGUAACCUGCCCAUAAGACUGGGAUAACUCCGGGAAACCGGGGCUAAUACCGGAUAACAUUUUGAACCGCAUGGUUCGAAAUUGAAAGGCGGCUUCGGCUGUCACUUAUGGAUGGACCCGCGUCGCAUUAGCUAGUUGGUGAGGUAACGGCUCACCAAGGCAACGAUGCGUAGCCGACCUGAGGGGGUGAUCGGCCACACUGGGACUGGGCACCGGCCCAGGCUCCUACGGGAGGCUGGAGUAGGGAAUCUUACGCAAUGGACGAAAGUCUGACGGAGCAACGCCGCGUGAGUGAGGAAGGCUUUCGGGUCGUAAAACUCUGUUGUUAGGGAAGAACAAGUGCUAGUUGAAUAAGCUGGCACCUUGACGGUACCUAACCAGAAAGCCACGGCUAACUACGUGCCAGCAGCCGCUGUAA
Molecule: ribosomal RNA, 515 nt
Filed under: uncultured bacterium
Lineage: Bacteria
Description: partial 16S ribosomal RNA
Rfam family: Bacterial small subunit ribosomal RNA
Source: RNAcentral